Non-coding RNA from Gasterosteus aculeatus aculeatus (three-spined stickleback), 705 nucleotides. Lineage: Eukaryota; Metazoa; Chordata; Actinopteri; Perciformes; Gasterosteidae. The record is from RefSeq and is a predicted model, not a curated record.
CCAGAGGCUGCGGUUACGACACAUCCUGGCGUCUUUCACGCUGCUCCGUGUGGUGACAGGGCAAAAGGAUCAUUGAGCAGCAGCACUGCACCAGCAAACCUGCCAGAGACCACUGCUGCUUUGCCUUUGGCUAAAUUCACCCUGUCUGGGUCUGCUUUGCCUUUGGCUGUGUUUACCCUGUUUCGGUUUGCUUUGUUUUGGCCUCCCCAGAUUGCUCAUUUUUGUGUUUUUCGCUGUGGGCCUCCCAACUGGGUAAAGACAUAUUUUAACUGCGUAUGAGACAGGCCGUACUUAUUAUUUGUUUGGAUCCUUUGUUUUCCUUAUUUUGUGAUUUCGGUAAGCUUUGGUUAAGCAGUUUGGUGUUUUAUUAGUAUGGUUUUUGUUUAAAUUUAAUUUUCUCUUUCUGUAUUAGUUUUGGUUUAAUUUCUUUUAUUUUAAAGCUGUUGCUAUCAUCUCCGCCCCUAUUCAGGUGCUGAGUCUGCGGUGGUGGAUUGGUGUCCCAGGUGGCUCUUUUGUUGUGUUUUUGCAUGUUUGGGUUUGCUUCAUUUUUAGUUUUACGUGUGGUGCUCCUUGGGUCCCCUUUUUUUUGGGCAAUCCAUUGUUGUAAGUCUCAGCCCUGAUUGGUUCCCCCGUUGCUCGUCCCAGAGUGAGUGAGGUUUUUAAACAGUGAAUUGAAUUUAAUAAAAUUGCAUUUUGUAUUUUAAA